Non-coding RNA from Parastrongyloides trichosuri, 46 nucleotides. The record is from Rfam. NCBI's taxonomy places the organism in Eukaryota, Metazoa, Nematoda, Chromadorea, Rhabditida, Strongyloididae.
CCAACGGCUCUCUUUAGAGCCAACAAUUAUUUCACGAUUUAUGUAA